UCUAGCGACACUGAUAAGUCUUUUGUAGACAAAACGCGCGUCUUGUUUAAAAUAUUUUAAUCCUGGUAUCUAUAAUGAGUAUAAACCCAGAUGCAUACAACUUACAAUUGUUAUUUUCUUGACUGAACUUAUUUUCAAUACUAAUAUUACUAAGACUGUUUCUGUCAAAUGUUGAUUGGAUCAUGUGGUUUAAAGGGAUAGUCAAUAAUGUUAAAAU
This 217-nucleotide long non-coding RNA is filed under the name Mytilus galloprovincialis (Mediterranean mussel). The record is from RNAcentral. Lineage: Eukaryota; Metazoa; Mollusca; Bivalvia; Mytilida; Mytilidae.